RNAcentral lists this ribosomal RNA (234 nucleotides) under Trypanosoma cruzi. Its description in RNAcentral is "small subunit rRNA". It matches the Rfam family "Eukaryotic small subunit ribosomal RNA", at positions 22 to 218 of the family's 1831-position model. The record is from RNAcentral. Lineage: Eukaryota; Euglenozoa; Kinetoplastea; Trypanosomatida; Trypanosomatidae.
CAGUCAUAUGCUNGNUUCAAGGACUNAGCCAUGCAUGCCUCAGAAUCACUGCAUUGCAGGAAUCUGCGCAUGGCUCAUNACAUCAGACGUAAUCUGCCGCAAAAAUCUUGCGGUCUCCGCAAAAUUGGAUAACUUGGCGAAACGCCAAGCUAAUACAUGAACCAACCGGAUGUUCUCUGUUCCGGCGGCAGGGCAACCUGCUGCCAUGGGACGUCCAGCGAAUGAUGAAAGUAA